AAACUAACAAGGAUUCCCUUAGUAGCGGCGAGCGAAGCGGGAAGAGCUCAAAUUUGAAAGCUGGCGUCCUACGGGCGUCCGCAUUGUAAUCUAUAGAGGCGUUUUCUGUGCUGGACCGUGUCCAAGUCCCUUGGAACAGGGUAUCAAAGAGGGUGACAAUCCCGUACUUGACACGACAACCAGUGCUCUGUGAUACGUCUUCUACGAGUCGAGUUGUUUGGGAAUGCAGCUCAAAAUGGGUGGUGAAUUCCAUCUAAAGCUAAAUAUUGGCGAGAGACCGAUAGCGAACAAGUACCGUGAGGGAAAGAUGAAAAGCACUUUGGAAAGAGAGUUAAACAGUAUGUGAAAUUGUUGAAAGGGAAACGAUGGAGGUCAGUCGUGUCUGUGGGAUUCAGCCGUCUCUGGCGGUGUACUUCCCACAGACGGGUCAACAUCAGUUUUGGCUGGCGGAUAAAGGCAGGAGGAAGGUGGCACCCCCGGGUGUGUUAUAGCCUCU
RNAcentral lists this ribosomal RNA (496 nucleotides) under Saitozyma sp. DMKU-SK7. RNAcentral's name for it is "partial 28S ribosomal RNA". It matches the Rfam family "Eukaryotic large subunit ribosomal RNA", at positions 62 to 564 of the family's 3401-position model. The record is from RNAcentral. Lineage: Eukaryota; Fungi; Basidiomycota; Tremellomycetes; Tremellales; Trimorphomycetaceae.